Microcebus murinus (gray mouse lemur) is the source of this 1934-nucleotide non-coding RNA. Lineage: Eukaryota; Metazoa; Chordata; Mammalia; Primates; Cheirogaleidae. The record is from RefSeq and is a predicted model, not a curated record.
GAGCCCUGUGGUAGCUGCAGUGCCAUGGAGGGCUUGUGAUGCUAAGUGGAGCUGGGCCCUAGGCUGACCCUUGGGAAGCUGGACUCCAUGAGAUGGCACCUGAAUGGCUUGGGAAAGAAUAUUCAGUUUCCACCCACCUUAAAGAACAUCUUUUUUGGUAAACUCAAGCAUAAUUUCCCUGAGUUGGAAAGAAAAGGUCUUAAGCCCUGGCUGGGUCUGUGUGAACCACUAAGUCAUUUGGUACAUUUUGGACCAUCCAUAUAACAGAGGGUCCGAAUGGUCCACAUUCAAAGACACAACAACAGCAGAAUCAUGGAAUGAUAAAGAAAAUAAACCAGCAAUUCCCAAAAUCACAGAUGGGAGGAUUGGACAGAGCAGAGCAAAAGAGCCAUGCGUGGGUGGGCCUGUGAACCAUCUGACUGUCACAGCUGUGGGUAUCCCCAGAGCUGCACUGGGGCCAACGACACAAAGCAGCGACAUCAUCAACAACCCUUAGGGAGGUGGAACAUCUGAGAGUCUAAAAGGGCUCCUUGUGUUCAGCUGUUGGAUCUCCCUGGAGUGAACACAAACAUGGUGCACCAGGAGUACCUGGGUCUCUUUCUGAGAUGACCGAGAUGGAAGCUUCAAUGAAGUCUGUUUGCAGUGCCAAAGCAAGGAACAAUCUGGCAAGUCUCUCCCGAGGCUGCUUGAGAAGCUUCCCUGGACUGGAGGCUCUGCCCAGCACUGCUGUGGGCUGAGAUAAAGCUGCAGGAGGUGGGGGAGCCAAAGCUAAUUCUUGAUUAUUCAGACUCUGCAUUAUCUCAACCCCUGAUCUCUUCCCAUCCCAUCUGCCUCCUCAGUCCUGGGUCAUUUUCACCGCUCAUUAUCACUGGCACCAGAGGGAAGGCAGAGAAAAUGAAGGGAGAUGAAAUUCAAAUGAAUCAAUUUUGCCACUUGUUAGCAGCUCUCAGCUCCCAAGUACACAAGGGGAGGAGGCUGCAGCUCUUCUGUGGGUUUCAAUUCUCCAUGCUAUUCUUGUCCCCGGUGCUGCCAGGCAAUAUCGAGUGGGAUGUAUGGAAACGAUCUGUGGGAUGAGAAAAGAAGGCAGGGGGAGAGCUCCCUGUAACAGUAGCUUCUUCAAAGAAAAGAAAAAGGAAUUGUAUGCUCAGCGGCAGCAUGCCACACAGAGUAGCCAGAUUUUUAUUAAACAAACUCGUGUUUGGAAGCAUACUAUCCCCUCAGAACUCGGGGAAAAGGGAUGCUGAGACCAUAUUUAGAGUCAUUAUAAUGCAGAGGAUACACUGAUUGUCAUAGCAGCAAAAAGAAAAUGAGGAAGUCUCCUUAAAAGAUUAUGCCAAAGACAGCAAAAGCAGAAGCAAGCAAGGGCUGUAUUAAAACCAGAAAGGAUAAUGAAAAGGAAGAAAAACACACUAAGACCUUUAAAACCACUGUCACUGACACAGGUAGGAUGGCAGGGAGAGGAUAGAGGCCCAAGGCAGACAGAAUUGUCUUUUUCUCUCUGAGUUUAUAAAAUAGGAAGGGGUUGGACUAUAAUUACCAAUGUUCUGUCCUGUUCUGUCUGACAUGGACACUGUGAGGCACCACCCAGCUAUUCCUGUGACUAAGGGCUUGUCCCAGCUGUUGGGAGUGCUGGUGGCAGGGAGCUUUCAGCUACCGUUCCCUUCAGAAUUGUUUCUGGGGCUGAGAACCACUUUUAUCUCCAGAAACUGCCCACAUCCAGUGACUGGCCAGUGGGGGAAGAUAAAAGCCUGGCUGUCUCAGCCCAGUUUGGGACAGCUUUGAAGUGCCAGUCUAGACCCAGAGCUGCCUGUGCGUUGCCCGAGGCUGUUAUUGCAUCUGCAUCACAGCUCCCCUCCUCCCUCUCUCCAUUCCUCCCCAUCUCAUUCACAAAUGCUGAUCCCAAGGGUACUCCUUAAUAAAUCUAUUGUAUGCCA